GGACCAAUAAACUGAAAACAGUCAAUAAAGAAGAAACUAUAGAAAUUCAACUUUAAAAAAUGGAUAAAAAAGAAGCAAAACGUAUUUACUCAAUCAACAACACUCAAAAGAAAUUCAAAGAUACAAAAGCCAACGUAAAGGAGGCUGCCAAAAACAACGAUAUCAGACUUUAUAAUGUAUGAGUGAAGAAGAAUUUUUUAGAACUGCAAAAGAAAUGUUGAAGAAUGCUAACAUGCGAAAAUCGUCAAACGACGUAAAAGAAGUGAUGAAGAACAAUUAGAAGAAGGAACAACGAAGGCAAUCUUAUGGCUUUGACGAAACUAAAGCAAUGGAUGCGACACGGCCCCCUAAAAAGAACGCUCAUACAGCAAAAAUUUCGAGUUCUUCAAAUUUGUCAGUUGAUGGAAUUCUGCAUUUGUUUGCACUAUCAGGCUACGAUCAUGGCCAUUCGCUGGAGGAAGGCAUUUCUAUGACGUCCGCAACUAACGAGAACCCAAAUAAUUUAGAAGAUUCCGGUAAAGUCUUAACGACUAAAUUUGAACAGAAACUGCAGCAGCAAGUACAAUGGCAAGGAUAAAAGGGCGAGACCACGUUAAAGUUUAUGUUGAGAGAGAAUUAUUCGGUCACUGGAAAGGA
Molecule: long non-coding RNA, 636 nt
Organism: Xenia sp. Carnegie-2017
Lineage: Eukaryota; Metazoa; Cnidaria; Anthozoa; Malacalcyonacea; Xeniidae
Exons: 5
Source: RefSeq, a predicted model, not a curated record